GACUCCUAGCAGCGAAAAAUACUUUUGGAUUCUUUUUUUUGUAUUUUUCGUUUUUAUAUCAAUUUCACUCACUAAUCUCCCCUCAAGCUAUAAAGAAAAUUAAUUAAAGAAAAAACACAAAUCCGUUGUGGCAAAACUAAACUUGGAUAAUUUGAUUCAUUCAGGUUCGACUCUUAGCAGUGAAAAAUACUUUUGGAUUCUUUUUUUUGUAUUUUUCGAUUUUAUAUCCAUUUCACUCACUAAUCUCCCCUCAAGCUAUAAAUAAAAUUAUUUAAAGAAAAAACUCAAAUCCGCUAUAGCAAAACUAAACUUUGCUAAUUUGUUCAUCCAAGUUCGCAUCUUGGCAGCGGAAAAUACUUUUGGAUUCUUUUUUU
This 374-nucleotide long non-coding RNA is filed under the name Malus domestica (apple). RNAcentral's name for it is "long non-coding RNA (MDOM_LNC019902)". The record is from RNAcentral. Lineage: Eukaryota; Viridiplantae; Streptophyta; Magnoliopsida; Rosales; Rosaceae.